GUGUUCACCUCGGUGGCAUGUGUACUGAGAUUGGAACGAUACAGAGAAGAGGAGCACGGCACCUGCACAAGGAUGGCGUGCAAAUGCAGGAAUAUUCCACAUUUAA
Small nuclear RNA from Ailuropoda melanoleuca (giant panda), 106 nucleotides. Lineage: Eukaryota; Metazoa; Chordata; Mammalia; Carnivora; Ursidae. The record is from Ensembl.